RNA transcript from Ananas comosus (pineapple), 1266 nucleotides. RefSeq lists it as uncharacterized. The transcript is spliced from 4 exons. The record is from RefSeq and is a predicted model, not a curated record. NCBI's taxonomy places the organism in Eukaryota, Viridiplantae, Streptophyta, Magnoliopsida, Poales, Bromeliaceae.
CCCCACUCCCCCACUCCCCGAAUCGCUCUAGGGUUCCUUAAUUGCCAGUCGCACGCCACUCUCACCUCCCUACUCGCGCCGGCCUCCUCCUACCCGAGUCGACGAUGGCGGAGCGGACCUUCUCUUCAGAGGAGCUGAAACGCGCUCUGGAGGAGGAGCUGCAACGCUUUUCGGAGGAGCCCGAGAAUGAGGUGGAGGUCAGGUCGAAGGUCGGCAUCACGGAGGAUGGAAAGCCGACAGUCGCACUCGGCGUCGAGAUCCCGAACGCGACGAUGGGGACGGUUCUCGCCAGCACAGCGAUCGGCGUUGCGGCCUACUGCGGGCUGGCGUGGAUUCUGCAGCGCGGACGCCAAUUUGCACAUGCCCUGAAGAGAUGCUUCGUCAAAUUUCGUAUUGCUGUUGCCUUCGUUCUCCCACUAGAUCCACACGCAAUUUCAGGGAUCUGAAUGCACGAGAGCAGCGUGAUGGUAAGACGUUCGGAUGGACGCUUCGAAAGUUUAACUUAGUUCUCCGGUGCUGUAGCAGAACAAGGAAAGAACCAUUCUAACAAAGUCCUCCUUUGUGGAACUAAAUCCUCUUUUGGCAGGAUAAUAGAAACUAGUGUAGGUGUUCGUUCCUCUUCAAGAUCGCGAGUCAAUGAAAUCGUCGCGAAAAUGAGCGCUUUCCUAGCUGUGUGUCGGCCGCAGCGAGCGAUGGAGAAGGGCGGCGCCCCUGCCGCUGCCUCGACGAGCCCGAAGGACGUGGAUGGUCUUGUGAAGCGCCUGGAGGAGAUGGAGGCACGGACCAAGCGCCUCGAGGACGCGGUCGAGGAACAUCGGAAGAAGCUGCGUGAGUCACAUGAUUCCCUUCGCACGAUGAAGGACGCCGUGGUAGCAGAGCAGGAGCUCAGGAAGAGGACGGUGGAUGGUUUGCUGGAACUGGAGGAGAGGCUGGACAGGGAGAAGCUGGCACGUGCAUACCUUCAGCGCCUUUUUCGGAAAUCCCGUUCCUAAAUUUAUCGUCCUUUUUGCUUGUUUAAUUAUAGUCUCUAUUUAUGUAGCUAGUCGUCUUGCAUUUCUUCCUUCUCGAAGCUUUUGCCUUUUGCUCAGGACACCGUGACAGGGAGAAACGGCUAUAUAUAAAUCUUUUGCUUAUAGAUUCUCGUGAUUGAUUACUUUUGACUUGUGCAAUUUUCUUCUUUCCUUUUCCUGUUUUAUUGAGUUUCAGAGAGAGAUUAAUUUGCAAGCUUUUGCGAGUAACAGAAAUUUUAUUCUUGCAAUUGUUAUA